ACCCCUGCCUAGGAGGCCAGUAUCAACAGAUAUUCCUUCAAGCUUCGCCUUAGGCUUGCUUAUUUAGUAUAUUAUCACCUGUUCCCAACAUGCAGCAGGAAAACACUUUUGCUACUUUUCCUUGAAUAGAAGCUUCCAGGGAUCUGACCCAGGAUCUGUCGAAUUGGGCUUGCGGGCCUCCGUUUUGCUAGGGUUCUUUGUCGCAAUUAACGCAGGCACAAGAAGCUACGACCCUUCUCCGUCUCGAGGAAAUGGUCAUCCCACCGAAACCACGGUGCUCGACAUAGGCUAUUCGUCGUCAAUAACACCAGCAGAACGUAGGAUUCUUCCACUCUUCAGGUUAGCCGCCAGGGUUCAUCAGCGCCCUGGCGGCUAAUGGAACGGCCCUUAUCAGAAAUUCUUCAAAGACUACAACUCUGCCCAACUACGGA
This 431-nucleotide small RNA is filed under the name Histoplasma capsulatum. RNAcentral's name for it is "hypothetical RNA". RNAcentral also lists the same sequence under 1 other name. Lineage: Eukaryota; Fungi; Ascomycota; Eurotiomycetes; Onygenales; Ajellomycetaceae. The record is from RNAcentral.